CAACAAUUAAAGAUUAAAAAUCCAAAUUACAAUUUUUUUUUUAAAUUACAGACUUACAGUUCAUCUUGCAAUUAAACAAUUUAAAUAUCAAACAAUUUCAUUUUGCAAUUAAGUCUUAAAUACAGUUUAUUUUUAUCUUGCAAUUUGCUGUGAUUUCUUCUUGGUGAAAGACGAUCUCGCAUCCUGGGACAUCACCAAAAACCCACACCCCAACACGCAAAGAGGGGGGGAAUACUGAUAACAUCCUGGUUUUCUAUGCGUCGUUUAUGUGCCGCAUAAACGACUAUGCGGUUUUCCAGACCCCCGCAUAGAUGUUCUAUGCGUUUGGCGGGUCUGGAUUGGGUCGAGUCGACUUUACCCAAAUUUAAAAUAAAAAAAACUAAAAUCCCCACAUAAAACCCCUCGCAUAAAACAGUCCAGACCUAAAAUCCCCACAUAACCCCCCCUGACAUAAAACAGUCCAGGCCUAAAAUCCCCGCAUAACCCCCCUGCAGCACACGGACACGUUGACGAACAACUCCUCUCCUGAAAACGGUAACCACCUCUUUUGCGUUUAUUUAAAACGCGUGUUGUCAGUACAUAUUCAUGCGUGUUGCAACUUGCAACCACUUGACAUGUAAAUAUUUAAAUUUUAAUGACAC
Molecule: long non-coding RNA, 641 nt
Filed under: Zostera marina
Lineage: Eukaryota; Viridiplantae; Streptophyta; Magnoliopsida; Alismatales; Zosteraceae
Description: long non-coding RNA (ZMAR_LNC003429)
Source: RNAcentral